CUACUCAUCUCUUCAGCGAAGAACCCUAGCUCAUCGAAACACAGAAACCUAGCGUUCGUUUCAUCUUCAUCUUCAGCGAAAAGAACGCUAGCAUUGCCGGAAACAUGUUUUCAUCUCUUCAGCGCUCGUUUCAUCUUCAUCUUCAGCCAAAAGAACCCUAGCGUUUCCAGAAACAGGUUUUUCUUUCCGUUUAUCAUUAUCUGUUGUUUCAUUCUUUCCGUUCAUCUUCAUCAUCAGUUUUAUUUCCACUUUCAUUCAGAUUGUCCGUUGCUAUUUGAUUCAGAUUUCUUCUCACUCUCAACAGAAUCGGAUUUUUUUUCACUCUCAACAGAAUCGUACUUCUUCUCACUCUCAUCAGAAUCAGACUUCUUACUCUCAAUAGGUUCAAAGCAGGAAAUCGAAUAGUUCAAAGAAUACAAAUAGAAGAGCUUAAAGAAGAAAAUCGCUUUAGGUUCGAUUGACA
This is a long non-coding RNA of Vicia villosa (hairy vetch), 463 nucleotides long. RefSeq lists it as uncharacterized. The transcript is spliced from 2 exons. Lineage: Eukaryota; Viridiplantae; Streptophyta; Magnoliopsida; Fabales; Fabaceae. The record is from RefSeq and is a predicted model, not a curated record.